AAGAGGGACUCCAUUCGAGAUAAGGACUAAACAAAAACAAAACAGUGCAAAUGAGAUUAGUACUCAACAAAACACGAAUAAAAACAUUCGAAUUCAACAUCCUAGAAAAAGGAAAUUCUGUUCAGAGAUACAAAAAAAAAUACCAAAAUGCAAAGACAACCAAAAUGCAAAGACAACCAAAACAGGAUGAAUAAAAACUUCAAUGACCUAUCCAACUGCUGGCUGUAGGUACCGCUGAAAAUCUGCAAAGACAACCAAAAUGCAAAGAUUAGGCAAACAACUUCAAGGUUAAUUGAUUAAGAAAAUGAUUCAAGGGCAUUGUACCAAAAUGCAAAGAUUAAGCAUGCAAUUUCUAAAAUAAGAGGAUGAUAGCAUUAACAUUCUCAGUUAUUAUAAAGUGCCCUAAUGAUAAUAAAUUGGUACAUCAAAGAAAUAAUUCACUUUGCUAGUUAGCGUGUGGAAUAACCUCAAUUAGUCUUAAGUUAAGAUGCUCCCAUGAAAGAACAGAUACUACUAUACAGAAAUGUAGAACAGGCACCAACUAACAAGAAAUGAUCUAAAACCUAUAAUCUCAAUGUAAGGAAUCAAUAUAUACUUUAAUUAAAAAACCAACAAGCAAAUAACAAGAUUAAGCAAACCAAUUUACCAAAUGAGGUGUGAAAACAAAAACCAAUCACACCCUCUAUCUUUCUAUGUGCAAAAGAAGUAAGCAGAGCUUUUACAUAACAUUAUAAAUUAAUUUUUCAGGAAUGUAAGCCAGUCACAUUGGAGAACAUCUCCAUGAAUAAAAGAGAAGCCUCAAGCAGAGAGGUUUUACACUUGCUAUAUGCACAGAUAAAAUCCUGGAAACAAUUUUUGUUAAACAAUGUUACCAAGAAGAACUAAGUGCAGUAUUGGAUCUCCAGAAAGAGAUCAAACAAUCAGUUUUGAUUUUUAUAAAACAGAAAUAAGGAGAGAAAACAGACAAUAUAAGGUUAAAGGCUCAAGCAGAACCAAAUAAGAAUGUGAGCCAAUUACAUUGGAGCACAUCUCCAUCUCCAUAGAUACAAGAGACGUCUCAAGCAGAAUGGUUUUUCACUUGAUAUACGCACAGAUAAAAUCCUAGAAACAAUUUUUGUUAAAACAAAUGUUACCAAGAAGAACUAAGUGCGAUUUUCUUUUGACAGAGUAACAAAUGAUCAAUUUUUAUCUAUCAAAUUGAAAUAAAAAAUUUAGACACAAUACUUGCUAGAUAAAUUUGUAAGCCAGUUUUAUUGGAACACAUCUCCAUACAUGGAGGAGAAGGUUCAAGCAGAAAGGCUUUAUAGUUACUAUCCGCACACAUAAAAUCUUAGAAACUAUAAACCUUGUUCCCAAGAUGAUCUGUGUGCAGUUUGUUUUCCAGAAAGAUAUCAAAAGAUUAAUUUUCAGCUUUCACCAAAGAAAGCCAAUAAUAUAAACAAUCAGUUGAGGUAUUAAGAAAUAAAAGAAACAAUUUUAUGAUUAAUACAACCACUAUAUACACCGUGAAAAUAGCACAAUGCACAACAAACUAAGACACACAUGGAUAAUUAAAAAACAUACUGCACAAGACAAUUCUAGAGAAACAGAAAUGGGAGAACUUAUGACUUCAAGUUGAUUCAGUGGAAUCGGUACAACGUAUCUAACAUAGCAAAAUUAAUAAUAUGAUUAUUUGGAUUGUCAACAAUUGAAUCAUAAUAAUGGCCCUAAAAAUCGUAAACCACGUGUUCAGAAAAGCAUAUUAAUUCAACAUUCAGCAAUCAAUAAUCUAUAUAUAAAGUUAACAAACAUUAAUAAAAUGGUAAAAUUACCUUAUAUAUUGCUUGGAUACAUAAAUACUCUAACCCUGGCUCCCUGCACAAACAAAUCAACACCAAAACUUUCAGAAACAAUAAAACAGUUUGUGAAAAAGAAAAAAACAAACCAUUUAUAUGUCUUUAAAAAUUACCAUUGAUUUUGGUGGAAGGUUAGACUUGAACUUUGCACGAACAAUACCACUGUUACCAUGAGGCCUGGUAACCUUACCCCAAAUGCAGCGAUAGUGGCUACCAUCCUUCUUCACUUUAGCCUUGUAAAUGUAUGCCAAUUUCUUCCCAGCAUACCAUGCAACUUCUUCCUUGGUGUUUACCCCCUCGAUCUGAACAAGAGAGGUGUUUGGGUAUUGAUUAACCUUGGACCUAUAACAGCAUUACCAAUUUCUUAGCACAAAUAAUCCCCAGCAAACCAGACCAACAUCAAAACCAAAAUACACAAGCGGAGACCCAUUAUGCACCGACAGAGGAAAAAUUAUAUAUUUAUAUUUAGAGUGAAGAUCGAAUUUGGUCUCAUUUCAUUAUUUUCCGGCCGGUUAAUUUAACUCCAUACAAAAAAUAGUACCCAAAUCAGUAAUCAUAUAACAGGCGGACUGAUUGUCCCUACUGUGAUAAUGCAAAAUUUGUGAAGGACCAAAUUGAGUCUUUGCUCUUAAAUUUAUAUAUCAAAAACACAAAUUAGAUGCUGAAUGUACUUAAGAAAACUUUAAUAUCUAACAUGAACUAUAAAAUUCAAAGAACAGCAUAGUCCAGCUAAAACAACAUUCAACAUUUCUUAGCACAAAUAAAGUUCAGCUAAACAGAUCAAAAUCAAAAUCCAAUAAACAACAUAAGAAAAAAAUUAUAUAUAAUCUUAAACCCAAAUUAGAUUUAAUUAACCUAUAAAUACUGCAAAUAAAUCGAAAUGGAGAAGAAAAACAAGUACCUCUUGUAACCAAGAACGGUACCCCUGACAUAAAGCCUGAUUAAAAACACAAAAUCAAAAUAACAUGAUUAGUAAAACCGAAACAAUAAAAUCAAAAGUGUUGAAAGGUAUAGAUCGAAGGGACAGAAGAGAAACCUGAUACGUUCUCCUUGUCGUCCUUUAACCAUUUUGAUUGGUGUGAAGAUGAAGAAGCUGCCUCUGUCUCUGUUAGUCUUCG
Molecule: long non-coding RNA, 2953 nt
Filed under: Medicago truncatula (barrel medic)
Lineage: Eukaryota; Viridiplantae; Streptophyta; Magnoliopsida; Fabales; Fabaceae
Description: lncRNA gene32556
Source: RNAcentral